RNAcentral lists this long non-coding RNA (3949 nucleotides) under Equus caballus (horse). RNAcentral describes it as "lncRNA (ENSECAG00000054858.1)". Lineage: Eukaryota; Metazoa; Chordata; Mammalia; Perissodactyla; Equidae. The record is from RNAcentral.
AACAAUAUCCACCUCAAAGAUGGUCGGCAGAGUCCAGUGAUGUCAUAUAAAUAAAAUUUUAUCACAGUGCCAAGCAUAUGAUAAGCAUUUAACGAAUUAGCUGUUUUUAUUAAUAAAUCACAAGGCUCGUUGGAAAUCUUCUGAAACAUCCCUGGAAACCAACUCGCUGUUGCACACAGAUUUUAGAAGGAACUCUUCUAAAGGGAAGCACGUGGGUUGAAAUUUGGAGAGCUCAGAUUCCUAGAAACUAUGCUAAUAAGUAUUUCAGGUUAAAAGGAAUUCUUUUUAUUAAUAAAAACUUAGAAAAGAAUGAAGGGAUAUUUAUCCAUAUUGUGGAUGGCAAGAAGUAACUGGAGAAAAAGUAACUUGUCGAGCCCUGCCCGAGCCCCGAAUUUAAGGGCUCUUUGCAGCUCGAACCAAAGAAAUUGGGAUUUACGUUGUGGUUGGAUUUAAGGCAAGCAGAGCUCCAGGAUCACAGAUGGACUUGUUUUCACAGUUUAUGUAAAAGAUAUAAACCCAAAUUUAUAAAAUGGAGUAGAGGCUCCAGUUGCUAGGGAUAAUGCGAGACACGCCAAAUUAACCAAACUUAAUUCAGAUGGUCAUUAAACAAUGACCCCACCUGGUUUUCUGUCGUUUUACCAUCUGUUGUAGCUGUGUCUUCUCAGAUGGGAGCGUUCCCACUAGCUCCCAGGUGCGACCUGUUUAUGAAGACCGUGCCAAAUCAUCCUCCAUAGCAUUUGGUAACUAGGCAAUCUAUUAAGGUUAAUAAGGCAAGUUGUAACAUAAUCUCAACUAACCUAUGGAAAUGGACUGAAAUUUUUGAAAACUGAUAUCAAAGCAGAGGAAUAUAAAUGAGUUUUUAAUUCUUUAGACAGAUCAUCUGGUGAUCAAAAUUUUAAGGUCCAGAAAACUAACUUUUUUGUGGUCAAGUAAGACAUUAGAAGUUUUUUUGGUGACUGCUUAAAAUUAUAGAAUAAUUAUUAGAAUAACAAAUUAUUAAGCAAAAAGAUAUUCGAGCUGGAAGUGUUUUAUAGAACAAACUUUUCAGUUUCCAGCUGGGAUCAGUGUGGGUCUCAAAGGCUAUGGGUUGAGUUGGUGGGGGGAGUGGGUGGCUAAAUCUGCAGACCCGUCGCCCUCAGCCCCACCCCCAUCUACUGCUUCAGCCAGAACUCUUCAGCUUUUAUCUGUCUAUUUGUGGGGAUUAUGCCUACUAUUUCUUUUGGGGAAAGGGAGCUCUCUUAAAAAAAUUUUUUGACAAAUGGGGAAACUGAGGUAAAGAGAGAGUAAGCAACCUACCUAAGAUCAUGCAUCAUUCAAGCUACAUUCUUGGAAGGACAUCAGAUUAGAUUUAUCAUACUGGCUAUGCAUGCAAAGUAAAGUAGCCACAUAGAUCCUACUUUUACAGCAUCAUUUCAAAACUUCCCUAAAACACAGACACAAAAUACCAACGAUCAAAUGAAUCUACGAACAUGCCUUCUUGUAUUGGAUGGUGAUGCUUUCCUGAAACAGGGAGGACGCCUUGCCGAGGGUGAUGUUCCAGCUGAGAAAGCAAAAUCCCUGACACAUUUCUGCUUAGUGGCCAGUGACACAACAUGCCCUCCCCCUCCCAUGUCUUCAGGGGUGAGCUAGAACAUAUGGCACAGAUCCUUAGAGGUCAACAACAGAAUGCCAAACACAAUCCAUCACUUUGCCACAAACUGAUAUGGUCCACGAAGCACAGGCGUAAAGUGUUCAUAAUGGACAGCUAGAUAACAGUCUGCUUACUGCAUUCUUCGGUUACUAAAAAUGAGGCUACUUUGGACCUUUACAACAUAAAGUCAAACAGUAGCCAGACAGAGUACUGUCAGACAACCCCCAAGACCAGCCAGCCAGAAAGGGGGCUUCAAAAGGCUGCGUCCUAGGCCCGCUUCAAAAGAUCACAGGCUUACGGGGUUUAAUCGUAAAUUAUCCUGUUUUAAUAUUUAAUAUCUUCCAGACCUUGAGACUGACAUUCAUUGCCAGAGUGAAGGAGGACCAAAGAGAAAUAUAAGAAUGCAUAUUAUUCACAGAACAGAUCUUACAAGCAAUUUCAAAGCAUAAAUUCUACCGGCAGAAAUUUCCAGUGAAUAGAGAUUAAAUGCUUACAAGCACUAAAGCCAGAAAAAGAGGGAGGAGAUCAAAUCAUAGUCAAGAAUGCUCUGAUUUUCCUUUAUCCCUUGUUUCUUCUGUUUGCAAUCUCCUAAAUCUUACCGUUUCUUUCAUUCCAUCUCCAUGUGUGUUUCUUGCAUGCUGCUUCUAUAGCGACACCCUAUCUUUGCUCUUUUAGAUCUCCCACCUCAACUCUCACCUUUAUAAAACCUUGCAAGGUUGUUCUCCUCAUUAUUAUAAUCUCUUUAUGCUAUAUUGAAAGAACCAGCCUUGAAGCUUGGCAAUUACGCACCUUUUAAUCUAUUGGGGUUUAUAAGUGUAUACAAUACAGACUGGUCGAGGUCACAAAUCCUUAGUUUACAAAAUCAGCCAGUAUAUAGCUCCUGAAAAAAACAUUUAAAAGUUUCUUGGGGCAGAGGUGGAGGGAGUAUGAAGAAGAAGAUAAAACUCAGGUAAGGGUGCACAACCCUCUGUAACUAAAAAAAUACAACCAGCAAAAGUAGGAUUCAAUCAAACAUCUUCCUUGUUAAUCUAUAAGGAGAGACCACAAGAUUUACAGCUUCAUGUUCUAGUUCAUGAAUUACAUCUUUAAAUCUGUACAACUUAUUCAUUCAAUAAGAUCUGAUUUAAUAAAUAUUUACUGAGGGUCCACUCUGGGCAAGGAACUAACCACUUAGGGAUCCACCUGUGAACAAAACAAAUCUUACUCCAUUGAACUUAUACUUGGGGAGUAGAGUGGGCAGGAGAGUGGGAGCCAGAUAAUAGACAAUAUAAAUAAAUAAAAGAUGUUAUUAUUUAGAAAGUGAUUAGUGAUAUUAUUUUUUGAAACAGAGAGAACAAGUUUUGGGGCAUCAGUAAUGCCAGGAGGAGAGGUAUUGCAACUCACUGGCCUCAUCGAGAAGGGACUUGAAGGGAGUGAGCAAUGUGGUUAUCAGCAGAAAGAAUAUUCGGGGCAUGCAGUCUGUACCAAGGUCUUGAGGCAAAAGGAAGGCCAAAAUGGCUAGAGAGGAACGAGCGUGGGAGAGAGUAGUAAAAGAUGAGAUUGGGGUGGGGAUCUGAUAUUCUUUUUAAAUAACAGCUUUAUUGAGAUAUAAUUCACAUUCCGUACAAUUCACCCUACAUGUACCAUUAAACAGUUUUCCAUAUAUUCACAGAGUUGUGCAAUCAUCACCACUACCUCUAUUAGAACAUUUUUGUUAUAAUGAACAGAUUUUGUGGGGCCUUUUAAACUAUAUUAAGGACUUUGGCUUUUACUCUGAGUAAAAAGAGGAGCCAUUGGCAAGUUCGGGUCAGAGAAUUAAGCGUAAUUUGACUUGCUCUUUAUAGAAUCGCUGAGGCUGCUGGAGGUGCGUAGAGGGAGGGCGAAAGCAGACAGAGAGAAACUAGUUGUUGCAGUUAUCCAGGUGGGAGAUGAUGGCGGUGCUGGUGGCGCCUCUGAGAAAUGGUUGAAUUAUUUUACAUUUUGAAGUAAGCUGAUAGGAUUUGCUGAUGGACUGGAUGUGGGUUGUGAAGGAAAGAAGUCAAAGACGAUACCAUGGUUUGGAGACUGAGCAAGGGGAAGAAUGGAGUUGCCAUUGACUUACAGGAGGACAAUUAGGAGGCCAACUUUGUUUUUGUCAUUUUAAGUUUGAGAUGCUCAUUGUAUACUGAGACAGAGAUGAUGAGUAAGUCUGAGGUUCAGAAGAGAUGACUGACCAGAUUGCAAGCACAUUCAGGAGUCAUCAGCAUAUAAGUAUUUAAGGCCAUGAGACUGGAUGAGGUCACCAAGAGAGUGAGUGUGGAUCAAGAAGCAAAGAGAGUCUCUGAUGCCUCCAGUCUCUCU